RNAcentral lists this ribosomal RNA (253 nucleotides) under uncultured bacterium. RNAcentral's name for it is "partial 16S ribosomal RNA". It matches the Rfam family "Bacterial small subunit ribosomal RNA", at positions 524 to 776 of the family's 1533-position model. The record is from RNAcentral.
UACGUAGGGGGCUAGCGUUGUCCGGAUUUAUUGGGCGUAAAGAGCGUGUAGGCGGCCAGGUAGGUCUGGUGUGAAAACUCGAGGCUUAACCUCGAGAUGUCAUCGGAAACCAUCUGGCUAGAGUCCGGAAGAGGAGAGUGGAAUUCCUGGUGUAGCGGUGAAAUGCGCAGAUAUCAGGAAGAACACCAAUGGCGAAAGCAGCUCUCUGGGACGGUACUGACGUUGAGACGCGAAAGCGUGGGGAGCGAACAGG